RNAcentral lists this transfer RNA (72 nucleotides) under Bos taurus (domestic cattle). It matches the Rfam family "tRNA". From Rfam's summary of the family: Transfer RNA (tRNA) molecules are approximately 80 nucleotides in length. Their secondary structure includes four short double-helical elements and three loops (D, anti-codon, and T loops). Lineage: Eukaryota; Metazoa; Chordata; Mammalia; Artiodactyla; Bovidae. The record is from Rfam by way of RNAcentral. RNAcentral also lists the same sequence under 3 other names.
GCCUGGAUAACUCAGUCCAUAGAAUGUUAGACUUUCAAUCUGAGGGCCCAGGGUUCAAGUCCUGGUUUGGCA